UAGAGUGUGGUGUAGUGGGUAGCACGGAGAAUUUUGAGUUCUCAAGGUUAGGUUCGAGACCUAAGGCUCUAG
This 72-nucleotide transfer RNA is filed under the name Panurus biarmicus. It matches the Rfam family "tRNA". From Rfam's summary of the family: Transfer RNA (tRNA) molecules are approximately 80 nucleotides in length. Their secondary structure includes four short double-helical elements and three loops (D, anti-codon, and T loops). The record is from Rfam by way of RNAcentral. RNAcentral also lists the same sequence under 1 other name. Lineage: Eukaryota; Metazoa; Chordata; Aves; Passeriformes; Sylviidae.